RNAcentral lists this ribosomal RNA (497 nucleotides) under uncultured bacterium. RNAcentral's name for it is "partial 16S ribosomal RNA". It matches the Rfam family "Bacterial small subunit ribosomal RNA", at positions 28 to 507 of the family's 1533-position model. The record is from RNAcentral.
GAUGAACGCUGGCGGCGUGCCUAAUACAUGCAAGUCGAGCGAACAGACGAGGAGCUUGCUCCUUUGACGUUAGCGGCGGACGGGUGAGUAACACGUGGGUAACCUACUUAUAAGACUGGGAUAACUUCGGGAAACCGGAGCUAAUACCGGAUAAUAUUUCGAACCGCAUGGUUCGAUAGUGAAAGAUGGCUUUGCUAUCACUUAUAGAUGGACCUGCGCCGUAUUAGCUAGUUGGUAAGGUAACGGCUUACCAAGGCAACGAUACGUAGCCGACCUGAGAGGAUGAUCGGCCACACUGGAACUGAGACACGGUCCAGACUCCUACGGGAGGCAGCAGUAGGGAAUCUUCCGCAAUGGGCGAAAGCCUGACGGAGCAACGCCGCGUGAGUGAUGAAGGUCUUCGGAUCGUAAAGCUCUGUUAUUAGGGAAGAACAAACGUGUAAGUAACUGUGCACGUCUUGACGGUACCUAAUCAAAAAGCCACGGCUAACUACGUG